GUUGCUGAUGCUCAAAUCUAUGGUUCCAGAUUUCUUUUCUAGGGUUUCUAUCUCCAGUGUUGCCUCACUUUGAGUUUUCUUUAUUGUUUCUACUUCCCUUUUUAGGUUUAGUAUGGUUUUGUUCAUUUCCAUCACCUGUUUGUAUGUUUUUUCCUCUUUUUCUGUAAGGACUUCUACCUGUUUGAUUGUGUUUUCCUGUUUUUCUUUAAGGACUUGUAACUCUUUAGCAGUGUUCUCCUGUAUUUCUUUAAGUGAUUUAUUAAAGUCCUUCUUGAUGUCCUCUACCAUCAUCAUGAGAUAUGCUUUUAAAUCUAGGUCUAGGUUUUCGGGUGUGUUGGGGUGCCCUGGACUGGGCGAAGUGGGAGUGCUGGGUUCUGAUGAUGGUGAGUGGUCUUGGUUCCUGUUAGUAGGAUUCCUACGUUUACCUUUCGCCAUCUGGUAAUCUCUGGAGUUAGUAGUUAUAGUUGACUCUGUUUAGAGAUUGUUCUUCUGGUGAUUCUGUUACCGUCUCUCAGCAGACCUGGGAGACAGAUUCUCUCCUCUGAGUUUCAGUGCUCAGAGCACUCUCUGCUGGCAAGCUCUCUUACAGGGAAGGUGCGCAGAUAUCUUGUUUUUGGACCUCUUCCUGGUCGAAGAAGAAGGCCCAAAACAGGGCCUCUCUCAGAAGCUGUGUUGCUUUGGCAGUUCCCAGAAGCUGUCAGCUUCUGUGGUGCAGACUCUCACCUGUGCAGACUAAAAUCCUAAGUUCCAGGGAGUCCUGGAAACAAGAUGGUGACCGCUGCUCCUGAGGCUGAGGCCGUCUCCCAAGCCAGGCUGACACCUGUCCUCUGGUCCGGAUGGUGGCCGGUUGUCUGCGGCCCGCCCAGGCUGCUGCCUCAGCGGCUCUGUGCUUCUGCCAGUCCCAGAAGCUGUCCGGUUCUCUGGCGCACCCGCUAACCUGUUCAGACUAAUCUCCUAAGUUCUGCUGAGUCCCUGUUUGUCUUUUCAUAGAUUUCUUUAAUGGAUUAAUUCAUUUCUUCAUUAUGGACCCCUAACAUAUUCAUAAAGAUUAUUUUGAAAUCCUUGUCUCGUACUUCCGCUAUCUUUGCCUUUCUCAGUUCCUGCUGUGAUAGGGUUGCAGGGCUUUAAUGGAGACAUGUUGUCCUGGCUUCUUUGAUUGUAUUUUUACACUGGUGGCUAGGCAUCUGAGUUUGUGGUGAUUGUAAUUCUAGAUGCUAAAAUCUGGUCUUGUCUUUGUUGGGUGGUUGUUUUGUUCCCUUAGUUUCUGUUGCCUUUUGGGGUGCUUAGGAGCAUGUGGUGCCAGUGGGUCAUCUGGUGGGAAAUGCUUCUUAGAUCCUGCUAGGUAUGGCUUCUGGAUGCUCUGGGUUGAGUGAUUGUCUUGGUAUUGGGAGCUGACACUUAGGGAUGGAGACAAGGUAGAAGGAGUCUACAGGAUGGAAGACAGGAGGGUGUACCACCAGGAUCUGCUUAGUUCCCUGAGAAUGAGAACAGAGAAGGAGUGGGAGCCACAGCAGGUGGUUUGCUCCAGAGUAGCAAUGAGGGUCAGCGUAUUUACUAAGGCAGAUCCAAGACUACAUCUAAAGUCAUAAUGCUGGAUUUGUGACGUCACUCUCAAUUGUUUCCAGAUGGUUUCUCAGGCUGAUCAAAAAGAAGAUGAGGCCAGUGAAUGUGAGUGGGAAAGUAGAUCUUCAAACAGAAAGAGGGCUCAGGAAUAAAAAGUAUAAUAAUAAUAAUAACAUGAAGAUCACAAAACAACCGUAGGUAAAGUAAAUUGCCUUUUCCCUCUGUCUCAAAACAGGGUCUUUGAUCAAUUGUUCCAGUGUAUAAAAAUUUGAACUCUAAAGAAGCCAGGCAGGCUUCUAAAACCCACACAUCAAAAGCUUUGCUUCCGUUAGAGAAAUUUAAAGCCAUGAUACUCUGAAUGGGUUUGAAAUUCUCUAAAAUGAGUUCUAAUAACACCCUUCGCAGACAGAAAGGGAGAACAGCCAGUUACAUGGCUUCAUGCUACCAUUUUCUCUGGUACAUUAGUUUUCCAAAGAUGCCAUUUUGGCUUGUACCAAAUAAGAGGGCAAAGGUUACCAAAUGGAAGCCCGGGGAAGCCAGAAACCAGAACAGCCCUCACAAUGGAAAGGGAAUCCAAACUGUCAGCUCUGAAUAGAGAGAAAUUGUAUGUGUGAAAUUGACAACCAGCAGCGGUCUGGCACCAUCAGAGAGGCCAGGAAAUUAACUCAACCGGGUUCCUACUUACUGGAUUAGAGCUGGGGUUCUGUCGAGAUGUACUCAAGAUUCACACCUAGACAUCUCUAGCCCCUGGAUCACACUGGCAAUGUCAGGUUUUAGUUGGAAGGCAUUCUAAACAAAUAAAGUAUCAGUGAACAAUUUUUAAUGAUACAGAAAAAACAAGAAGAAAUACAAACUACCUCUUAAGAACUGUUAACAAUGGAUGCAUCUGUCUUUUCAUGCACAUUGCUUUACCAGCUGGAAGCCAAUUUGUGUAUAUAAUUGUUUUUUGUGUUUUUGUGUUUUAGCUUACUUAGUACUAUAUAAGUUUUUUGGUUGAGGGAGACAAAAAUCACAGUCAACAAUCAGGGUGCAAGUAGAUGAAGUUAGUCAGAGCUUGAUGGCUGGCUCCUUCUCUACAGAAAUAGCAGAGAGAAAGGGACAAUACAAAAAAAAUGGUGGACACUGCAUCUGGGACAGACUGUGGCAUACAUUCAUCAUGACAUACAUUGUUUUAUCACAACAGAAAAGAAACAAAAUGAACACAGACCCCAGGAAUGGACUUGCUGAGAAAGGAAUCACAAAGCAAUUCAUUCUCAAUAGGCUCAAAGAGAAGAAGUGUGUGUGUGCGUGUGUGUGUGUGUGUGUGUGUGUGUGUGUGUGUGUGUGUGUGUGUGUUUUAAAACUAGCCCAAGGGGGUGGGGGAAAUUUCUACUAUGAAGAUUGCAAAACACAGAAGAAAUUAAAAAAGACAUUAGAAGACAUACUUUUCAUACUUGUAGAGAAUUAAUAUUGUUACAAGAGCAUACUAGCAAAAGUAAUGUACAGAUUCAGAGCGAUUCCCAUAGAAGUUCUAAUAACAUUCUUCACAGAAAUGGGGAAACAAAUCCUAAAUUCAUAUGAAACCCCAAAAGGCCCCGAGUAGCCAAGGCCAUCCCAAGUCAAAAGAAAAUGUCAGAUAUCCACAGUACCUAUUUUAC
RNAcentral lists this long non-coding RNA (3200 nucleotides) under Mus musculus (house mouse). RNAcentral's name for it is "predicted gene, 17644". The record is from RNAcentral. Lineage: Eukaryota; Metazoa; Chordata; Mammalia; Rodentia; Muridae.